GAAACAUCUUCUCUCCAGUGUCCACAGGGC
RNAcentral lists this non-coding RNA (30 nucleotides) under Homo sapiens (human). Lineage: Eukaryota; Metazoa; Chordata; Mammalia; Primates; Hominidae. The record is from RNAcentral.